UCUAGUGCAAUUAAGCCCUAACAUAACUAAAGGGAACUGCGUCUGACAACUUAACAAGAUUAUCUUCGGUCGAAGCCACAGAUAAGUCCACAAAAUGUUAUCCCCGGUUCUUGAUUCAAGAAAUUCAAUCCAAGCCUCGACUCCCACGGGUAACGAGAAUUUAUCCAAACGCAACCUGGAGUCCAUGGCUUUCACUCGAUUGGGAAUACAACGAUCUAACACGUCUGGUCUAACUAAAGAAGGCGCAUGCAAAUGCUCUAUUAUCCAUAUCUGCAAUAUCAGGUUACUGUCC
RNAcentral lists this long non-coding RNA (292 nucleotides) under Capsicum annuum. Its description in RNAcentral is "long non-coding RNA (CANN_LNC005889)". Lineage: Eukaryota; Viridiplantae; Streptophyta; Magnoliopsida; Solanales; Solanaceae. The record is from RNAcentral.